This 467-nucleotide ribosomal RNA is filed under the name uncultured bacterium. RNAcentral describes it as "partial 16S ribosomal RNA". It matches the Rfam family "Bacterial small subunit ribosomal RNA", at positions 28 to 507 of the family's 1533-position model. The record is from RNAcentral.
GAUGAACGCUGACAGAAUGCUUAACACAUGCAAGUCAACUUGAAUUUGGGUUUUUAACUUAGGUUUGGGUGGCGGACGGGUGAGUAACGCGUAAAGAACUUGCCUCACAGCUAGGGACAACAUUUGGAAACGAAUGCUAAUACCUAAUAUUAUGAUAAUAGGGCAUCCUAUAAUUAUGAAAGCUAUAAGCGCUGUGAGAGAGCUUUGCGUCCCAUUAGCUAGUUGGAGGGGUAACGGCUCACCAAGGCGAUGAUGGGUAGCCGGCCUGAGAGGGUGAUCGGCCACAAGGGGACUGAGACACGGCCCUUACUCCUACGGGAGGCAGCAGUGGGGAAUAUUGGACAAUGGACCGAGAGUCUGAUCAAGCAAUUCUGUGUGCACGAUGAAGUUUUUCGGAAUGUAAAGUGCUUUCAGUUGGGAAGAAACAAAUGACGGUACCAACAGAAGAAGAGACGGCUAAAUACGUG